RNAcentral lists this ribosomal RNA (253 nucleotides) under uncultured bacterium. Its description in RNAcentral is "partial 16S ribosomal RNA". It matches the Rfam family "Bacterial small subunit ribosomal RNA", at positions 524 to 776 of the family's 1533-position model. The record is from RNAcentral.
UACGUAGGGGGCAAGCGUUGUCCGGAAUCAUUGGGCGUAAAGCGCGCGUAGGCGGCCCGGAAAGUCGGAUGUGAAAUCCCGGGGCUCAACCCUGGGCCUGCAUCCGAUACUCCCGGGCUGGAGGCAGGUAGGGGAGAUCGGAAUUCCUGGUGUAGCGGUGAAAUGCGCAGAUAUCAGGAGGAACACCGGUGGCGAAGGCGGAUCUCUGGGCCUUGCCUGACGCUGAGGCGCGAAAGCUAGGGGAGCGAACAGG